Molecule: unclassified non-coding RNA, 130 nt
Filed under: Oryza sativa (Asian cultivated rice)
Lineage: Eukaryota; Viridiplantae; Streptophyta; Magnoliopsida; Poales; Poaceae
Description: partial microRNA MIR437a precursor
Source: RNAcentral
CCCACAUAAAAUUAGCCCCAUUAGCACCUCUUGGAGGGGCUAAUGUUUUGAGGGAGGCUAAUUCACAUUAGCUCAAAAUUAGCUCACCUGUUUGGAUCCUUGAGGGCUAAUUUGAGGCUAAAAGGUGAAG